UAAGGGGGGGGCAAGCGUUGUUCGGAAUUACUGGGCGUAAAGGGCGCGUAGGCGGCCUGCUAAGUCGGAUGUGAAAUCCCUCGGCUCAACCGAGGAACUGCAUCCGAUACUGGCGGGCUUGAAUCCGGGAGAGGGAUGUGGAAUUCCAGGUGUAGCGGUGAAAUGCGUAGAUAUCUGGAGGAACACCGGUGGCGAAGGCGGCAUCCUGGACCGGCAUUGACGCUGAGGCGCGAAAGCUAGGGGAGCAAACGGG
RNAcentral lists this ribosomal RNA (253 nucleotides) under uncultured bacterium. RNAcentral's name for it is "partial 16S ribosomal RNA". It matches the Rfam family "Bacterial small subunit ribosomal RNA", at positions 524 to 776 of the family's 1533-position model. The record is from RNAcentral.